This 250-nucleotide long non-coding RNA is filed under the name Athene cunicularia (burrowing owl). Its description in RNAcentral is "lncRNA (ENSACUG00000006127.1)". The record is from RNAcentral. Lineage: Eukaryota; Metazoa; Chordata; Aves; Strigiformes; Strigidae.
UCAGAUCAGAGGCUAAAUAUGUCACUUGGACAGUAUGAAACAGAUGAAAUUUUGAAAGCUACUGCUGAGCAGAAAAAUGCCUCUGGUGGUCAUAGUAUAUCAGGAUCCAGGAUGAUGGACCAAAGCUUGUCAAUUCUAAUCACAGAGUAUGAUAAACAAUUGGAAGAAAUGAGAGAACAGCUGCAGCUUUAUCAGGUAUGGAUGUUCCUAACAUUUCAGACUGUACGUUCUUAGCAUUUUAUAGUAUUAA